CAAAUUGAGAGUUUGAUCCUGGCUCAGGAUGAACGCUGGCGGCGUGCCUAAUACAUGCAAGUCGAACGCUUUGUGGUUCARCUGAUUUGAAGAGCUUGCUCAGAUAUGACGAUGGACAUUGCAAAGAGUGGCGAACGGGUGAGUAACACGUGGGAAACCUACCUCUUAGCAGGGGAUAACAUUUGGAAACAGAUGCUAAUACCGUAUAACAAUAGCAACCGCAUGGUUGCUACUUAAAAGAUGGUUCUGCUAUCACUAAGAGAUGGUCCCGCGGUGCAUUAGUUAGUUGGUGAGGUAAUGGCUCACCAAGACGAUGAUGCAUAGCCGAGUUUAGAGACUGAUCGGCCACAAUGGGACUGAGACACGGCCCAUACU
RNAcentral lists this ribosomal RNA (375 nucleotides) under Weissella cibaria. RNAcentral's name for it is "bacterial SSU rRNA". Lineage: Bacteria; Bacillati; Bacillota; Bacilli; Lactobacillales; Lactobacillaceae. The record is from RNAcentral.